UAUCAGGGCAGUGUACGUUACUGUGUUAGGCUUAACUCCCUUAGUUCCAAUCUCACUAAAUACCGUUUUUGCUUCAAUGAAAUUUCCCUGCUUGCAGUAACCAUCUAUCAGGGCACAGACACUGUUUGUUGUUGUGUUAGGCUUAACUCCAGCAGUUUCCAUCACCCUAAGUAUCCUUUUCGCGUCAACAAUUUUUCCUAGCUUGCAAUAACCAUCUACCAGUGUAGUGUAUGUUGCCGUGUUAGGCUUAAUUCCCUUAGUUUCCAUCUCAAUAAG
RNAcentral lists this unclassified non-coding RNA (276 nucleotides) under Hevea brasiliensis (rubber tree). The record is from RNAcentral. Lineage: Eukaryota; Viridiplantae; Streptophyta; Magnoliopsida; Malpighiales; Euphorbiaceae.